Molecule: ribosomal RNA, 931 nt
Filed under: Thozetella lithocarpi
Lineage: Eukaryota; Fungi; Ascomycota; Sordariomycetes; Chaetosphaeriales; Chaetosphaeriaceae
Description: partial large subunit ribosomal RNA
Rfam family: Eukaryotic large subunit ribosomal RNA
Source: RNAcentral
UUGUACCCCCGGGGCUAAGCAUAUCAAUAAGCGGAGGAAAAGAAACCAACAGGGAUUGCCUCAGUAACGGCGAGUGAAGCGGCAACAGCUCAAAUUUGAAAUCUGGCCCUAGGCCCGAGUUGUAAUUUGCAGAGGAUGCUUCUGGCGCGGUGCCUUCCAAGUCCCCUGGAACGGGGCGCCAUAGAGGGUGAGAGCCCCGUCUGGUUGGCCGCCAAGCCUGUGUGAAGCUCCUUCGACGAGUCGAGUAGUUUGGGAAUGCUGCUCUAAAUGGGAGGUAGACCCCUUCUAAAGCUAAAUAUUGGCCAGAGACCGAUAGCGCACAAGUAGAGUGAUCGAAAGAUGAAAAGCACUUUGAAAAGAGGGUUAAACAGUACGUGAAAUUGUUGAAAGGGAAGCGCUUGUGACCAGACGUGCGUCGGGGUGUUCAGCGGGCGUUCUCGCCCGUGCACUCGCCCCGGUGCAGGCCAGCGUCGGUUCGGGAGGGGGGACAAAGGCGCCGGGAACGUAGCUCCUCCGGGAGUGUUAUAGCCCGGCGUGUCAUGCCCCCGCCUGGACCGAGGUUCGCGCUCCGCAAGGACGCUGGCGUAAUGGUCCCCAGCGGCCCGUCUUGAAACACGGACCAAGGAGUCGAGGUUUUGCGCGAGUGUUUGGGUGUCAAACCCGCACGCGUAAUGAAAGUGAACGCAGGUGGGAGCUUCGGCGCACCACCGACCGAUCCUGAUGUUCUCGGAUGGAUUUGAGUAAGAGCGUAGGGCCUCGGACCCGAAAGAUGGUGAACUAUACGUGAAUAGGGUGAAGCCAGAGGAAACUCUGGUGGAGGCUCGCAGCGGUUCUGACGUGCAAAUCGAUCGUCAAAUUUGCGUAUGGGGGCGAAAGACUAAUCGAACCAUCUAGUAGCUGGUUACCGCCGAAGUCUCCCCCUAAGGGAUAA